AAGUCCCACGUCUACCUCACAUUUGUCAUUUCGGCGUCCCGAACUCCGGUCACCGAUGCCACUCCAUGACCAAGUGACUUCUUCCUGAAACCUCGCUGGCGGCCAUGGCGAAGGCGAAGGCACCGAGGCCGAAGCCGCCGCGGGCAGCCAGCCGACGACUCCUCGGUAUUGGCGGGCUAGGCAUCGCAGCGGCGGCGUACGUGGGCGUGGACUACCUGCGGUACCUGUCGCCGGCGUGGCACGACCGGCUGCAGCCGGCGCUCUGGGCGGCGCUGGCGCUCGCCGCCGCCGCGCGGGCCCCGUUCUACCGCCACUGGGCAGCCGAGCUGCGCGCCGCGCUUCCCUUCCUCGGCUCCAUCGCCUUCAUGCUCGCCGCCUUCCUCUGCGAGGCCAUCUCCGUCCGCUUCGUCUCCGCCGUCAUGGGGCUCCAGUGGCACAGAUCUGCUGCUCCGCUUCCUGACACUGGUCAAUGGCUGCUUCUGUCAUUGAAUGAGAAGCUUCCUCAAAGCGUGGUUGAUCUACUGAGAGCUCAUGUUAUCACUCUUCACCAUUACUUGAUGUUGUUUAUCAUGCUGGGGUUCUCAGUGCUGUUUGACUGCAUCAAAGCUCCUGGCCUUGGUAUAGCCACAAGAUAUAUGUUCACUAUGGCAAUUGGUCGUUUGCUUCGGACGAUAACAUUUAUUGCUACUAUUCUUCCAUCUGCAAGACCUUGGUGUGCUGCAGCUCGUUAUCGAAUACCUGAGCAUCCUCACCCUUGGGCACAAAAAUAUUAUGUUCCAUAUGCUUCUGACUCAAACGCUAUUCGUAGGGUCAUAACGGAUGAUAUGGCCUAUGCUGCUGUUCAAGCUUACCCAGGUGAAUAUAGGCCUGAUUGGGGACGGAUGAGCUUCCUAGUGGACAUUUUGAGACCAACUCUUGGAGAAGGGCCAUCAUGGUACCAUUUGUUGAAGAAAGCUAGUGGUGGUUGCAAUGAUCUUAUGUACAGUGGACACAUGCUUGUUGCUGUUCUUACUGCAAUGGCGUGGACGGAAGCAUACGGGGGCUGGAUAUCCGUCGCGAUAUGGAUUCUCGUCCUACACAGUGCACAAAGGGAGAUACGCGAACGGCACCACUACAGCGUGGACUGCAUCGUGGCGAUCUACGUUGGUGUCCUCUUGUGGCGAAUGACAGGUUUCAUCUGGUCUGCCAGAGACGCCAGCCGAGCCAGAAGGCUUGCCAAGCUUGAUGAGGUCCAGAGCAGGCUGAUCCAUGCUGCCAAGGACUCGAACAUCGACGAGAUCAGGGGCCUGCUGAAGGAGGUCGAGCUGGCUAGCCAAGAAAGGCAGGGAUUCUCGCAGAGGGCGAUCCUGGCCUUCGCCGCUGUGACAAUCAUGUUCACAUUGUCAUGUGUUCUCCUUGCCUUCACAAUGACCAGCGACGGUUGAUUUGAGUUUUGUCGGGAACCCCUGGAUCUGAAUGUUGGCCGAUUUUCCCUGGGUCGCACUGCUGUUUUUCUACAGGAUGUGGUUGCCCAGUGUCAUUUGUUGCAGGAAACAUGUUCCUACAGAAGUGGAACUUGAGUUUAGUGGCGUCAAAAUUCAUAGAUGUUUUGCAGCUGCACGAGAAGCUGAUGAUUCUCGCUACCUUUUUGUGCCUGUAAUUGCUUGCCAACUACACAAGUACAGAGGUAGAAGUAGAACAGCAUGGUUUGCUGCUUUUCUUCGAGCGGAAUCGCGAAGGGAAAAAAAGAGAGAAUCUUAUCCUGAAAAGAAUGACCUUGAAAAUCCUGUUGUAACAGGAACUGUGAAGAAAAACUGUUGGAACGCUGAAGAGAACAAAAUCUCUUCAUGAUGAAAAUAUGACCCUUGAAAGGAAUCCCUUAGGCUAGCCUAAUGUUCGGGUGGACAUAGAGUUCCCUCGCGCACAUCCGAUCGAACAGCCCUCGUUUGUCGCCCUGUAAACUUUUUUAUUUAUAUGAUUUUUUCUAGGAUUUGCAAACACUAUGCUUCCAUUUUGAAAGUUUACAAAUCUAUCGCCCGUUGACGUUGAACAGGCGACAAGAACCUGUCACAUAGACAUGUCGUCGAGGUUCUUGUCGUCCGGUCGGGCGAUAGGAAUAUAUAUCUGUAAUAUUUCAAAAUGGAUAGACGUUUUUUCUA
This is an RNA transcript of Phragmites australis (common reed), 2138 nucleotides long. It is a transcript of the gene named protein PHLOEM UNLOADING MODULATOR-like, with no coding region annotated. NCBI's taxonomy places the organism in Eukaryota, Viridiplantae, Streptophyta, Magnoliopsida, Poales, Poaceae. The transcript is spliced from 5 exons. The record is from RefSeq and is a predicted model, not a curated record.